UCCCAGUUAACCCGGGCAGUCUGACCAAAGUGCCCACCUUAACGUGAUGGCAACUAGUCAUAAGGGUUGCGCUCGUUGCGGGACUUAACCCAACACCUCACAGCACGAGCUGACGACAGCCAUGCAGCACCUGUGCAGAGACCCUUUCGGGAGAUGUCAUCUCUGACACUGUCCUCUGCAUUUCUAACCUGGGUAAGGUUCUUCGCGUUGCAUCGAAUUAAACCACAUGCUCCACUGCUUGUGCGAGCCCCCGUCAAUUCUUUUGAGUUUCACCCUUGCGAGCGUACUCCCCAGGCGGUGCACUUAACGCGUUAGCUACGACACAAUGGGGGUUGAUUCCCACUCCGUCUAGUGCACAUCGUUUAUGGCAAGGACUAC
This 378-nucleotide unclassified non-coding RNA is filed under the name uncultured Chlamydiales bacterium. RNAcentral's name for it is "contains 16S-23S intergenic spacer region". Lineage: Bacteria; Pseudomonadati; Chlamydiota; Chlamydiia; Chlamydiales. The record is from RNAcentral.